This 91-nucleotide transfer RNA is filed under the name compost metagenome. Its description in RNAcentral is "tRNA-Ala". The record is from RNAcentral.
CGUCCUCGAUGGCGAGGCAGUACGCGAGGGUGUGGCCGACGGUGGUGUCGCCGCUGACGCGUUCGGCCAGUUCGAUCCCGGCUGCGGGCGU